UUAGGAGUAAAGUUCUAUGGUUUCUGGUAAAAGUCGCUAGUCAUUGUGGAUAAAACGUUAUAUUAUUGUGAGACGAUCGAGGAGAAUGAAAGUAAUAUAACACCAUGAAAUGUAUUUCGAAAUUUCGAGAAUCAAUAAAGCCGUCUUUACAACAUGGCGGUGUUUCGAAAGCCACGGGGCGGUAUUCGAGUUGUUUUCUCGAAUAUCUCUUACUCUUUUCAUGAUAAUAACAAUGAGAAGGAAUUUCAGGAUCGAGAAACACAAUCAAAGAACAUUUUAUGUGAAUUUUUAUGUACUUACUGGCCUUCUUGAGUCAUAUUUCGAGAGCUUCGUUCCGUAAGAAGCAAACAAACACAGAGCGCUUACGUAUCGCGCCGUAGAUCCGUGAUUCGAGAGUGUUUCGAGAUUCAACUAUCGAUCAAACAAAAUGGCGAUUGGUUGCUUUUGUCGAUGUCGAAUUCUCUUGUUUCCGGAAUCGAAAUUUGAAAAAUCUCUAUUUACCAAUCUAAGUCUGGUAAUCUUGAAACGUAAUAUAAUUUUUGAUAUUAUAAAUAAAUUUCACGCUAUUAUGUGGUAUAGUGGGAUUAAUUGCCAAGAUUAAUGAAGUGAAAACAUUUUCAACUUGCUUCAUUUCUCAUUUGUAUUUCGAGACGUUAAAAUAUAUGGUUAUCCGAUA
This is a long non-coding RNA of Bombus terrestris (buff-tailed bumblebee), 676 nucleotides long. RefSeq lists it as uncharacterized. NCBI's taxonomy places the organism in Eukaryota, Metazoa, Arthropoda, Insecta, Hymenoptera, Apidae. The record is from RefSeq and is a predicted model, not a curated record. The transcript is spliced from 2 exons.